This 709-nucleotide long non-coding RNA is filed under the name Aedes aegypti (yellow fever mosquito). Its description in RNAcentral is "lncRNA AAEL023554". Lineage: Eukaryota; Metazoa; Arthropoda; Insecta; Diptera; Culicidae. The record is from RNAcentral.
UAUCAAAUAUGCACUAGAUGAAUAUAUGUUAUACAUUGAAAUGAAUAUUAGGUGUUUAUUUCCUCAUGUGCAUAAGUGUUGUGGUUUCCAAUCUUUGGACUUGUCGAAAUUGAUUGAAAUUUCCAGGCAGCAAGCAACGACACGUUCGCUGAAAGUUGUUGAUCUGUAGUGAAGCCAAAUACCGUACUGAUGGAGUUGUGUUAAGAGGAAAUUUCUUUGGAGCAGACGAGGACAGCAGGAAAUUUGCUAGAUUUCUACCUGAUCAGCAAGAGGCGGGCGAUUUUGUAAUACUAUACUGCUUUUCGGUAAAAGUGAACCACACGAGGAGGAAUAUGAUCCGGGAAUUCAUCGCAGUGCAAGACGACAAGCGUCGUUGUAAGGAAAAAAAAGUUGGAUGAAAAGAAUAUUGAUUUCUGCGUGCUGCAAAAACAAAGCUGGCCCAUAGAUUCGCAGGGAACGGAAUGUUGGAACCCAAUGGAUUACACAAGAACCCCGUCGAUGUCGAAUUUGGACCCGGGAGUCAGGAUACUGUGGGAAAUAUUCCCGGCGUAGCACUCAUGGCGACAAUCAAGCGAAGAGCGUCCGGUAUCCAAUCCGCAGUUUAUCUGCACAUUUUCGUUGCAGUUCUAAAUGAAUGACAAAAGUAAGCAGUUGGCGAAAAACUCAUCCCUUACCCCUUUUUUUAAAUACAAUUUUCUCUAAAUAUGAA